GUGCUCACUUCAGCAGCACAUAUACUAAAAUUGGAAUGAUACAGAGAAGAUUAGCGUGGCCCCUGCACAAGGUUGACAUGCAAAUUUAUGAAGCUUUCCAUUAUAAA
Molecule: small nuclear RNA, 107 nt
Organism: Gorilla gorilla gorilla (western lowland gorilla)
Lineage: Eukaryota; Metazoa; Chordata; Mammalia; Primates; Hominidae
Source: Ensembl